UUUUGGGACUGCUCAUUAGUGCUAGAAAGUGGUAAUAUUAGAAUAUACCCCGUUUAGAGCAGCAGUCAUUAAGUAAAUUAUUUUGACAUGGUAAUACUUGAAAUCCUAAGAGAUUACACCACAGUUAACAAAGUAUUAGCUACAAACAAAAGCAAACCAGCAUAUAAGAGACUACCUACUGUGUUUAACCUCUUACGGAAUGAUAAACGUGAGAACUCUAAAGGAAAAAACGGCCAUCUAUAGAGUCCCUUUUCGGAACUUAGAUGAAAAUACAGAUGAGAUAUACAUAGAUGCUACGGCAAGAAAUCUUAAGGAUAGACUUAAAGAGCAUGCCAGUGAUAUUAAGGGUGCCAGCUUGACAACGGCUCUAGCAAAAAGAGCUUAUGAAGCCAAUAUUAGUGUCGAUUGGGAAUAAGCCCAAGUAAUCAAACAGGUAAACUGUGCACAGGAGCUACAGAUGGCGGAAAGCCUACAGAUCUACAAACAUAAAAGGCAGCACAUACUUGCUAAUAACAAACAGCCGUCUGCACUGCCAAGACCUUGGAUGUAUCUAUUAGAUAAUUCCGGCGGCCAGCCAUACAGCACCUUAAUAGAAUGCUAACUUGAAAGAGAGACCCAUUGGCAUCUAAAAAUCUUAAAUGUUUUUAGAGAAGAAAGACUUGAACUGUUAUUAUUUUAUUCUAUUUUAUUUAAUUUUGUUAUAUCAUAUUCUUGUUUCUAAUAGAGCUUAUGUUAUCCUUCAGAUAUUAAUUUGUACCAGUUGUAACUUCUUGAAUUUAUGCAAUAUAUUAUAUCUCAGUAUAAAAUCUUCAAACAAGCACUGUAGCAAAG
RNAcentral lists this long non-coding RNA (831 nucleotides) under Androctonus crassicauda. The record is from RNAcentral. Lineage: Eukaryota; Metazoa; Arthropoda; Arachnida; Scorpiones; Buthidae.